Molecule: unclassified non-coding RNA, 272 nt
Filed under: Hevea brasiliensis (rubber tree)
Lineage: Eukaryota; Viridiplantae; Streptophyta; Magnoliopsida; Malpighiales; Euphorbiaceae
Source: RNAcentral
AUAAAUAUGCAGAAGAAAUGUUGCACUAGAGAACUAGUAUUCCAGAAGGUAAGUUCUUGAGGAGAAAAAGUAGUUUAAAUAUCAUUAAUUCUUUAUGCAUCCCAAGUCCUCUCCUCAAUGUUCAACAUCACAACCCUAAAGCAAGGUCAGUAGCACUGCUGCAAAACUAAUGUUGAAUUGAAGCACCAUUUGAUACAUCUCAUACAUUCUUUAUGUACUCUAAUUUCCUUUGAUAUACAAUUAUUUUAUCAAAGAAAGAAGAAAAAUUCCAA